UGGCUGACUGACACAAAAGAAUGAACCUGGAGCAUGAAGGCCAUUUUGAGAUGUUUGAGAAGAAACUUCUGAGGAUGUCCCUUUACAGAGCAGCAGGAGAUUUGCUCUCUGUGUC
This 115-nucleotide long non-coding RNA is filed under the name Macaca nemestrina (pig-tailed macaque). Its description in RNAcentral is "lncRNA (ENSMNEG00000045810.1)". The record is from RNAcentral. Lineage: Eukaryota; Metazoa; Chordata; Mammalia; Primates; Cercopithecidae.